ACCUUUCGUCUCCCUCGACUCAAAACAAUUGAUAGAUCUAGAGAAGGCAAUGGACAAAAAUCCGGAUGGUUCUAUCUAUGUUCCCAAGGAAGCAAAGGAACAAGGAAGCCAGAUGAAGCCAUAUCCACAAGAUUCAAGUGAUUUGCGUGAACCAACCUUGAGUGAUAGUGAUAGGACACUAACAGAUAGUUGUGAUAGUGAGAGGACACUAACAGAUAGUUUUGGAGAGAUCCAAGCGAUGGAUCUUGGUGGUGAAUCAGAAGUAGAUUCUGUAUUGGUGCUUUCUCAAGAAAAAGAGGAGAUAUUUGUUGGUACUUCAGCAACAACACAUGCUAACAGUAUCAGAAGCAUCCAAGAGAGAGGUCCUGGUGAUGAAUCUGAAGUUUUUUCAAGAGAGGUUGUUUCUAUCGGGAAACAAGUACACUCUAACGGCAAAGACAUUGGUGAUAGAGUGAUAACUCCAGUGAAGUUCAUACCUGAACAUGAACAAACUGCUACAAUUUUUUGAAGGAAAACUCUUCCAACAUCCAAAGUGGAAAGAAAUUCAAGAACAUAUCUCGAGAAGAUAAUGGUGGGCACAAAACUCAGAAAUCAAGAAAUCCUAAUUUACAAGGGAAUGGCACUAGUGAGUCCAAAAGAGGAAGAACAAAUGGCCAAGUGCACCUCUCAUUUUCCAAAGCUCUUGAAAAUUCAAGAACCUUGAGUGAUAGUGAGAGGACACUUACAGAUAGUUUUGGAGACAUCCAAGAGAUAUAUCAUGGUGGUGAACCCGAAGUAGAUUCUGAAGUGGUGCUUUCUCAAGUAGAAGGGGACAAAUUGGUUGCUACUUCUGUGAGAACACAUGCUAGCCAUAUAAGAAGCAUCCAAAAGAGGGACCUUGGUGAUGGAUCUAAGGUUGUUUCUACAAAAAUUGUUGCUAUCAGGAAACAAGAAGUACACUCUAAUGAGAAGGACAUUGAAUUUAGAGCGAUACCUCCAACCAAGAUCAUACCUAAACAUGAAGAAAGUGCUACUACAAUUGUUUUGAAGGAAAACUCUUCCAAUAUCCGAACUGGAAAGAAAGUCAAUAAAAGAUCUCGAGAAGAUAAUGAUCGGCAUAAAAC
Hordeum vulgare subsp. vulgare (domesticated barley) is the source of this 1103-nucleotide long non-coding RNA. RefSeq lists it as uncharacterized. The record is from RefSeq and is a predicted model, not a curated record. Lineage: Eukaryota; Viridiplantae; Streptophyta; Magnoliopsida; Poales; Poaceae. The transcript has 4 exons.